This 157-nucleotide ribosomal RNA is filed under the name uncultured bacterium. RNAcentral describes it as "partial 16S rRNA". It matches the Rfam family "Bacterial small subunit ribosomal RNA", at positions 355 to 507 of the family's 1533-position model. The record is from RNAcentral.
UGAGGAAUAUUGGUCAAUGGGCGCAAGCCUGAACCAGCCACGUCGCGUGAAGGAAGACGGCCCUACGGGUUGUAAACUUCUUUUGUAAGGGAAUAAAGUGUAGUCACGUGUGACUAUUUUGCAUGUACCUUACGAAUAAGGAUCGGCUAACUCCGUG